GGGGGUGAUUGGCCUCGACUUGAGUGAGCCGGGGUUAGGUGGCAUGCCGAGGAUGAUGGUUGGCCUCGUUAAAGUUCCAUCAAACAAUAAACGCUAACGAAACUACGUUAACGACUGCCGACUUCGAUCUGGCCUGCGCGAACAGCGUUGCGCCCGUCGGAGCCGACGACCUCGUCUUAGCCUAAUUAAUUAGGCUAAGCCCUGUGGUAAAGGGAGUCUGUCGCUUUAUCAUUGGAACCAAACAGGCUGGUCUUAAGGAUCGCACUUGUUCUUAAGACGAGAUUUUAGAGUGCUGGUCUGGCGCGGGUUUGUCCGUUGAAACACGCCAGUCGACAAUAAAGACGGUCUACGCAUGUAGAUGCUUAAUCUUUGACACUGAAGGACCCGGGUUCGAUUCCCGGCACCUCCACCA
Molecule: transfer-messenger RNA, 412 nt
Filed under: Candidatus Omnitrophota
Lineage: Bacteria; Pseudomonadati
Also listed under: 1 other name
Description: GCA-2753745 sp002753745 Standard tmRNA
Rfam family: transfer-messenger RNA
About the family: Bacterial tmRNA, also known as 10Sa RNA or SsrA, is named for its dual tRNA and mRNA-like properties. Its role is to liberate the mRNA from a stalled ribosome. To accomplish this part of the tmRNA is used as a reading frame that ends in a translation stop signal.
Source: RNAcentral